UGAAGGUGAAUUGCAAGACUGAUGGUAUGAUUUUAGUGGAGCUGCUUGCACCACUAGCUGAAAGGUUUUCAGCAAACUUUUUGGAUUCUAUGAUUUACCAUAAAAGUUGUUUGAGGCUCCAGUUAUGACCUUUCUGAUAAUGAACUAUGCCUUUAAGUCAUAUUUCAUAGCAGCAGUUUAGAAAAAAUAAGCAAUCAUCAUUUAGAGGCUUUAGAAAACAACUAUUCAAGGAGGUUUUUUUUUUUUUUGAUGAAAACUACUCAAGGAGUUGCCUCUAGAUCUAGGUUCAUUACUUGACUACAUCAUGACCAACAUC
RNAcentral lists this long non-coding RNA (316 nucleotides) under Phoenix dactylifera (date palm). RNAcentral describes it as "long non-coding RNA (PDAC_LNC000481)". Lineage: Eukaryota; Viridiplantae; Streptophyta; Magnoliopsida; Arecales; Arecaceae. The record is from RNAcentral.